This 483-nucleotide long non-coding RNA is filed under the name Phascolarctos cinereus (koala). RNAcentral's name for it is "lncRNA (ENSPCIG00000036160.1)". Lineage: Eukaryota; Metazoa; Chordata; Mammalia; Diprotodontia; Phascolarctidae. The record is from RNAcentral.
GGUGGGGGUGGGGGUGGGGGUGGGGGCAGCCUGGCUGGCCAGAGCGCAUUCUUCCUGACCGCCUCCUCUCAGAGGAUUCCUGCCUGAGUCUGGUGCCCACCGCACAGCUCCUGGUCUUAACCCACUCAACUAAGCCACCCUUUCUUACCUCACUACCUCACCUGAGUCAGGAAGCAAAAGGCUUGGCCGGGAGGCCCCGAGUCCCAGCCAUGAGGCGGAGCCGGACCGCGGCAUCCUUCCUGCCUAACGAGCGAGUCCGAGAGGCGGCAGAAUUGAGCCCUGCGGCUGUCGGCCCCCCCAGGCAGCAGCGCAGUCCGCAGGCGCUUCUCUGGGACCCCGCAGCUGCCGCCGCUCACGUGGCGCCACGGCCCAGUGGGAGAGCCCGCCCGGGCCCUAGAGCCUGAAGCCAGUGCCCGGGUCGUGUUCAGCAUUGAGGAGCGAGUGUCCGAGCGUGGCUAUCCCCCGACUGGCAGCAGGUAAGGG